RNAcentral lists this ribosomal RNA (373 nucleotides) under Aleiodes sp. HD-275. RNAcentral's name for it is "eukaryotic LSU rRNA". The record is from RNAcentral. Lineage: Eukaryota; Metazoa; Arthropoda; Insecta; Hymenoptera; Braconidae.
CGAAUGGGGAGAUUCAUCGUCAGCUCAUUUUGUAUAUGUAUAAGUUAUGAUGCGGGUUACUACUUGUAGUAUUGCCUGCACAUUCUUGUAUAUUUAGUUGCAAGAUGUUGUCGGCGUGCACUUCUCCCCUAGUAGGACGUCGCGACCUGUUGGGUGUCGGUCUACGGCCCAAGUGAUAGCCUUUAAUGUAAUUUAAAAAACAUUGAAGACCCUUGGUGUUUUCUGACCGGCUACUUGGCAGUAUUCGUACGGUAUUUAGCCGCUAAAUUUAUUAAGCGUCCAUAUCCAUCACAAGCGAGGCUAAUUUACUGAUAGUACGGACCUAGUGCCGUCGUUGGUAUUGGCCAGCUGUUGGUUGAUGGUAUUCUAGGAC